CUACGUCUUCACACAAGCAAUAUGUAUCAGAAUGUAACACCGCGUCUAACGCAAUAAUACAACUUCCAACAAGGGAUCUCUUGGCUCUCGCAUCGAUGAAGAACGCAGCGAAAUGCGAUAAGUAAUGUGAAUUGCAGAAUUCAGUGAAUCAUCGAAUCUUUGAACGCACCUUGCGCUCCUUGGUAUUCCGAGGAGCAUGCCUGUUUGAGCGUCGUGAAUCUCUCAACCCACAAAUUGUUUGUUCAGUUUGUGCGGCUUGGACUGGGAGGCAUUGCUGGCGAUGGUCAGCUCCUCUUAAAUGUAUUAGCUGGGCUUAGCUCGGUGGAACGGUUAGUGUGAUAAUUAUCUGCGCUGCCUACUACAUCGGAUCCCGCUUCUAAUCGUCCGUAAGGACAAUUCACUUUGAAUCUGACCUCAAAUCAGGUAGGACUACCCGCUGAACUUAAGCAUAUCAAUAAGCGGAGGA
Molecule: ribosomal RNA, 466 nt
Filed under: uncultured fungus
Lineage: Eukaryota; Fungi
Description: eukaryotic LSU rRNA
Rfam family: 5.8S ribosomal RNA (bases 61-214)
Source: RNAcentral